This 1526-nucleotide long non-coding RNA is filed under the name Mytilus galloprovincialis (Mediterranean mussel). The record is from RNAcentral. Lineage: Eukaryota; Metazoa; Mollusca; Bivalvia; Mytilida; Mytilidae.
GUCAAACAACAAAAUAAUACAUUCUCACAAAAUAAUGCUUAAUCAAAAUAAAUUUGGAGGAAUAUGAAUUAAUUUGCCACUCAGAAAUACAAGCAUGCGGUUUAUCUUAAAAGAAUUGUUACUUUGGUAACCAAUGUAAGUUAAAAUUAUAAAGCAAUUCCUUCCAUUUAAAACUUCUCAAUCACUUCUUUGUUCAGACCAUGUUAUGUUUUACUUUUGUUAUACUUUAACAAUAAAGUUUAAAUGUUACUGUUUUAGUUAUUGAAUUAAACUUUUCUGCUCUUUAUUCUAUUUCUUUGUGUAUAAAGAAAAUCAACAUGGUACUGUACACAUUAACCGCACAAUUCUACGUAUAUAAAUGAAAAUAUUUUGUUUGAAACUUUAUUAAAAUGAACAAGGCUGCUUAUCAAUAACAGGUUACCCUUAAAAGUAACUUUAAGGAGGUCACUGAGCUUACUGAACAACAUCAGCACAAAACAUUAGAACCCUGAAUGAAGUACCCAAAUAUUAACCCAUUAUACAUGUCUAAGUGUAACCACCAAAAAAAAGAUAUACCAACAAAUUUUCAAAAAAAUUAAAACCACCUGCCUACCACAAGCAAAUACCUGGGUAGGGGUAUGAAGAAACAAAGAUUCUAUUAAUUGCAAGCUAAGCCAUGAUGUUUUGCUGAAUUCUAAUAAAAUAAAAUAUCCUUUCAAGAGAUCAAACAAAAUAUCAUAUGAAGAGAUCAUAAUAAAAUAUCGAUAUUUUUACUUUAAAAACAUGAUUUUUAAGUUUUGACUUCUGGGGACCACUUUUAUGUCUUGAAGUGUAUUUUAACAGCUAUGACAGUAGAAUAAUAUGUUAAAAGUAAGAAUGAAUGCUUAGGAUUGAUUUGAAGUGAAAUUAAAUGCAAAUGAUUAGUGUAAAGUAAAAAUGAACACUUAUAAUUGGUGUGACAUGUAAAUGAAUGCUUAUGAUUGGUGUGAUGUAUAAAUGAAUGAUGAUUGGUGUGAAGUGAAAAUGAAUGUUAAUGAUUGGUGUGAAGUGUAAAUGAAGACUUGUGAUUGGUGUGAAGUGUAAAUGAACGCUUAUGAUUGGUGUUAAGUGAAAAUGAACGCUAAUGAUUAGUGUGAAGUGUAAAUGAAUGCUUAUGAUUAGUCAAGUAAAAAUGAACGCUUAUGAUUGGUGUGACAUGUAAAUGAACGCUUAUGAUUGGUGCGACAUGUAAAUGAGCACUUAUGAUUGGUGUGAAGUGAAAAUGAAUGCUUAUAUUUGGUGUGAGGUGAAAAUUAAUCCUUAUGAUUGGUGUUAAGUGAAAAUGAACGCUAAUGAUUAGUGUGAAGUGUAAAUGAAUGCUUAUGAUUAGUCAAGUAAAAAUGAACGCUUAUGAUUAGUGUGAAGUGAAAAUGAACGCUUGUGAUUGGUGUGACAUGUAAAUGAACGCUUAUGAUUGGUGCGACAUGUAAAUGAGCACUUAUGAUUGGUGUGAAGUGAAAAUGAAUGCUUAUAUUUGGUGUGAGGUGAAAAUUAAUCCUUAUGAUUGA